RNAcentral lists this ribosomal RNA (541 nucleotides) under uncultured Gallionellaceae bacterium. Its description in RNAcentral is "bacterial SSU rRNA". It matches the Rfam family "Bacterial small subunit ribosomal RNA", at positions 135 to 671 of the family's 1533-position model. The record is from RNAcentral. Lineage: Bacteria; Pseudomonadati; Pseudomonadota; Betaproteobacteria; Nitrosomonadales; Gallionellaceae.
AAUGGGGGAUAACGUAGCGAAAGUUACGCUAAUACCGCAUAUGCCCUGAGGGGGAAAGUGGGGGAUCGCAAGACCUCACGUUUUCGGAGCGGCCGAUAUCAGAUUAGCUAGUUGGUGGGGUAAAGGCCCACCAAGGCGACGAUCUGUAGCUGGUCUGAGAGGACGACCAGCCACACUGGGACUGAGACACGGCCCAGACUCCUACGGGAGGCAGCAGUGGGGAAUUUUGGACAAUGGGGGCAACCCUGAUCCAGCCAUGCCGCGUGAGUGAAGAAGGCCUUCGGGUUGUAAAGCUCUUUCGGACAGAAAGAAAUCGCCCUUCCUAAUACCAGGGGUGGAUGACGGUACUGUAAGAAGAAGCACCGGCUAACUACGUGCCAGCAGCCGCGGUAAUACGUAGGGUGCGAGCGUUAAUCGGAAUUACUGGGCGUAAAGCGUGCGCAGGCGGUUUAUUAAGACAGAUGUGAAAUCCCCGGGCUUAACCUGGGAACUGCAUUUGUGACUGGUAGGCUAGAGUGUAGCAGAGGGGGGUAGAAUUCCA